CUGCUACAAAUCUGAUUCCUCCUGUUUUAACUGGUGUAGUUUGGCGAUUCUUGCUCCAAAAGAAAUCCAGACUCCUCUUCUUUGAGAAGGUUGAAAGCUUGAGGGAAGGAAUAACUCUAGGAAACUGGGAGCAGCAAUUAAACCAAGUAAAAAUGGGUCACAAAGGGGAUGAAGUUUGGCUGAUUCCUAAGGUUGUCUUGUUGCUUUUUCUCGCC
This 215-nucleotide long non-coding RNA is filed under the name Populus trichocarpa (black cottonwood). RNAcentral's name for it is "long non-coding RNA (PTRI_LNC003098)". The record is from RNAcentral. Lineage: Eukaryota; Viridiplantae; Streptophyta; Magnoliopsida; Malpighiales; Salicaceae.